UACGGAGGGUGCGAGCGUUGUCCGGAAUCACUGGGCGUAAAGGGCGCGUAGGCGGCUCAUGAAGGCUGUGGUGAAAGUCCGGGGCUCAACCUCGGAUCGGCCGUGGCGACUCGUGGGCUGGAGCACUGUAGAGGCGGGUGGAAUUCCUGGUGUAGCGGUGAAAUGCGUAGAUAUCAGGAGGAACACCGGUGGCGAAGGCGGCUACCUGGACAGAAACUGACGCUGAGGCGCGAAAGCUAGGGGAGCAAACAGG
RNAcentral lists this ribosomal RNA (253 nucleotides) under uncultured bacterium. RNAcentral's name for it is "partial 16S ribosomal RNA". It matches the Rfam family "Bacterial small subunit ribosomal RNA", at positions 524 to 776 of the family's 1533-position model. The record is from RNAcentral.